UGGCGGACGGGUGAGUAACGCGUGGGUAACCUGCCUUGCACUGGGGGAUAACACUUAGAAAUAGGUGCUAAUACCGCAUAAGCGCACGGUCCUGCAUGGGACAGUGUGAAAAACUCCGGUGGUGCAAGAUGGACCCGCGUCUGAUUAGCUGGUUGGCGGGGUAAGGGCCACCAAGGCGACGAUCAGUAGCCGGCCUGAGAGGGUGGACGGCCACAUUGGGACUGAGACACGGCCCAAACUCCUACGGGAGGCAGCAG
This 257-nucleotide ribosomal RNA is filed under the name uncultured bacterium. RNAcentral's name for it is "partial 16S ribosomal RNA". It matches the Rfam family "Bacterial small subunit ribosomal RNA", at positions 96 to 354 of the family's 1533-position model. The record is from RNAcentral.